RNAcentral lists this ribosomal RNA (128 nucleotides) under uncultured bacterium. RNAcentral's name for it is "partial 16S ribosomal RNA". It matches the Rfam family "Bacterial small subunit ribosomal RNA", at positions 648 to 775 of the family's 1533-position model. The record is from RNAcentral.
GACGUAGGGGGACCUGGAACUUCCGGUGGAGCGGUGAAAUGCGUUGAGAUCGGAAGGAACGCCCGUGGCGAAAGCGAGGUCCUGGACGUUUUCUGACGCUGAGACGCGAAAGCUAGGGGAGCGAACGG